UACGUAGGGUCCGAGCGUUAAUCGGAAUUACUGGGCGUAAAGCGUGCGCAGGCGGCUUUGUAAGUCAGAUGUGAAAGCCCCGGGCUUAACCUGGGAAUGGCAUUUGGGACUGCAAGGCUGGAGUACGGCAGAGGGAGGUGGAAUUCCAGGUGUAGCAGUGAAAUGCGUAGAUAUCUGGAGGAACACCGAUGGCGAAGGCAGCCUCCUGGGCUAGUACUGACGCUCAUGCACGAAAGCGUGGGGAGCAAACAGG
This 253-nucleotide ribosomal RNA is filed under the name uncultured bacterium. RNAcentral describes it as "partial 16S ribosomal RNA". It matches the Rfam family "Bacterial small subunit ribosomal RNA", at positions 524 to 776 of the family's 1533-position model. The record is from RNAcentral.